This 735-nucleotide long non-coding RNA is filed under the name Lepisosteus oculatus (spotted gar). Its description in RNAcentral is "lncRNA (ENSLOCG00000022599.1)". The record is from RNAcentral. Lineage: Eukaryota; Metazoa; Chordata; Actinopteri; Semionotiformes; Lepisosteidae.
CUUUUACACUGGUUGUCACAGCUGUUUAGAUCAAUUCAAAAUGUGAAAUUACAAACCCUGAAGACAAAGACAAGUGGUCAGCAAGUGGCCCAGAGGACAGGAGGCAGCGAGAGAUCCUGUCAAACACUCAGCUUUCCGGGAUCUGAUUUGCCUCUGGCUGCUGCUUCUAACCUUCAAACCACUACUGCGGUUUCCUUGUUCCCAAACGUCUCUCUCGGGCUGAGAGCUGUCCCUCCCCUCACCUGCGCAGCCCUCAGUUGUCUCCACAGCCUGAACAGGCCAGGCAAAGGAUUUAAAGGGUUCAGAAAUCAGCUGGAUACUCAAAGUGCUGUUUACUGAGAUGGGUGCCACCAUGUGGUGACUUUGAGAAUUGUCACAGAUCAACAAGUGGUUCAGUUCUUCAAACCUUGCCUUGAAGGAUUUGAAGUGCAUGUUAAAAACCUGAGAACAGUUGCAAGUCCAAUAAAAGACAAGAGAGGCAACAUUAAAAAGCAGAGUGUCAUUGUGGACUCCAGCAGGCCAUAGACAUCACCUGUAGAAUAUAGACAUAAUAGCAGGACCUAGUUCUGUGUUGCCUUUAGGUAGUUGAAUGAAGUUAAUAACAAAAUUCCUGUGCUCUGUCAAGAAUUGCUGUGGUACUUUAAGAGAAGAGAGCAUUCACAGUAGGAGGGGAGGAUACAUCAGUCCAAUUUGAAACACCUAAAGGCUUGUUAAAAAAGGCGCUAUAUUAAAUAA